Molecule: ribosomal RNA, 874 nt
Filed under: uncultured Acidobacteriota bacterium
Lineage: Bacteria; Pseudomonadati; Acidobacteriota
Description: bacterial SSU rRNA
Rfam family: Bacterial small subunit ribosomal RNA
Source: RNAcentral
UGCAAGUCGGACGAGAAAGCGGGGGCAACCCUGCAAGUACAGUGGCAGACGGGUGAGUAACACGUGAACAAUCUACCCUCGAGUGGGGGAUAACCCCGCGAAAGCGGGGCUAAUACCGCAUAACAUCCUGUUUUCGCAUGGAGAUGGGAUCAAAGGCGAAAGUUGCUUGAGGAGGAGUUCGCGGCUGAUUAGCUAGUUGGUGAGGUAACGGCCCACCAAGGCAACGAUCAGUAGCCGGACUGAGAGGGCGAACGGCCACACUGGAACUGAGACACGGUCCAGACUCCUACGGGAGGCAGCAGUGGGGAAUUUUGCGCAAUGGGCGAAAGCCUGACGCAGCAACGCCGCGUGGAGGAUGAAGGUCCUCGGAUCGUAAACUCCUGUCAGUGGGGACGAAAUCCCGCAAGGGACUGACUGUACCCGCUGAGGAAGCCACGGCUAACUCCGUGCCAGCAGCCGCGGUAAUACGGAGGUGGCAAGCGUUGUUCGGAAUUACUGGGCGUAAAGGGCGCGUAGGCGGCAUUUCAAGUCAGAUGUGAAAGCCCCGGGCUUAACUCGGGAAUUGCAUCUGAAACUGCUUUGCUUGAGUCCUGGAGGGGGUAGUGGAAUUCCCAGUGUAGCGGUGAAAUGCGUAGAUAUUGGGAGGAACACCGGUGGCGAAGGCGGCUACCUGGACAGUGACUGACGCUGAGGCGCGAAAGCUAGGGGAGCAAACGGGAUUAGAUACCCCGGUAGUCCUAGCCGUAAACGAUGGGCACUUGGUGUCGGGGGUAUUGAGUCCCCCGGUGCCGGAGUUAACACGUUAAGUGCCCCGCCUGGGGAGUACGGUCGCAAGACUGAAACUCAAAGGAAUUGACGGGGGCCCCACAAGCGG